RNAcentral lists this ribosomal RNA (606 nucleotides) under Staphylococcus saprophyticus. Its description in RNAcentral is "bacterial SSU rRNA". It matches the Rfam family "Bacterial small subunit ribosomal RNA", at positions 108 to 701 of the family's 1533-position model. Lineage: Bacteria; Bacillati; Bacillota; Bacilli; Caryophanales; Staphylococcaceae. The record is from RNAcentral.
GAGUAACACGUGGGUAACCUACCUAUAAGACUGGGAUAACUUCGGGAAACCGGAGCUAAUACCGGAUAACAUUUGGAACCGCAUGGUUCUAAAGUGAAAGAUGGUUUUGCUAUCACUUAUAGAUGGACCCGCGCCGUAUUAGCUAGUUGGUAAGGUAACGGCUUACCAAGGCAACGAUACGUAGCCGACCUGAGAGGGUGAUCGGCCACACUGGAACUGAGACACGGUCCAGACUCCUACGGGAGGCAGCAGUAGGGAAUCUUCCGCAAUGGGCGAAAGCCUGACGGAGCAACGCCGCGUGAGUGAUGAAGGGUUUCGGCUCGUAAAACUCUGUUAUUAGGGAAGAACAAACGUGUAAGUAACUGUGCACGUCUUGACGGUACCUAAUCAGAAAGCCACGGCUAACUACGUGCCAGCAGCCGCGGUAAUACGUAGGUGGCAAGCGUUAUCCGGAAUUAUUGGGCGUAAAGCGCGCGUAGGCGGUUUCUUAAGUCUGAUGUGAAAGCCCACGGCUCAACCGUGGAGGGUCAUUGGAAACUGGGAAACUUGAGUGCAGAAGAGGAAAGUGGAAUUCCAUGUGUAGCGGUGAAAUGCGCAGAGAUAUGG